UACGAAGGGUGCAAACGUUGCUCGGAAUUAUUGGGCAUAAAGCGCACGUAGGCGGCUUGGCAAGUCGGAUGUGAAAGCCCUUGGCUUAACCGAGGAAGUGCAUCCGAAACUGGCGAGCUAGAGUACGAAAGAGGAUCGCGGAAUUCCCGGUGUAGAGGUGAAAUUCGUAGAUAUCGGGAGGAACACCGGUGGCGAAGGCGGCGAUCUGGGUCGAUACUGACGCUGAGGUGCGAAAGCGUGGGGAGCAAACAGGG
This 254-nucleotide ribosomal RNA is filed under the name uncultured bacterium. RNAcentral describes it as "partial 16S ribosomal RNA". It matches the Rfam family "Bacterial small subunit ribosomal RNA", at positions 524 to 777 of the family's 1533-position model. The record is from RNAcentral.